AGGGUUCCCGAGGGCUGAGCGGGCACACACGCCGUGCCCGGGCCCUCCCAGCGCCGCUAGCCACGGCUACUAACGACCAUCUGCCUCCCCCGGCCCGCACGCCCCACCUGCCCCAGCCGCGCUGGGGUCCGCAGCCCCUCACGGGACCGUCUCCGCUCCCCUUGCACACAGGAGCCUUGGCUGAUGCUUUAUUCCCUCUGCGGUGGCCACCUCCAGCCGCUGCGCUUUACUGAUCAACCACAGAGUCAUGGCCAAACAGCCUUCAAAUGCAGCCCAAAAAAGGGCCUGGAUUGAGCCAUGUGGGAGCUGGAAGGCUUUGACUCAGGAGCAUGGAAGGGGUCCCAACUGCAGUUUAAAGAUUAGAAGCUACACAUUGAGUGGACUCCUCAGGGCUCCCACUGCAUCCCAAACCCUUGGAAUUAGUGCUGCACAGGCACGGAUGAGAAAGCAGCCCCAUCCCUGUAGCCUGAGAAGACAAAGCAGGUGAGCAGCAGCCUCCCCUGAGCAGGGCCCUCCCUGGACGCUGCCCCUGGCCCAGAGCCUCGGACACAGCUGACCUGUCUCCAGAGGGAUGCAGCCCUGGACACAGCUGCAGAUUGCCUUACAUGUCAGGUCUGGCAGGAAUGUGGUCUCUGUCCCAUGUCUUUAGUUCUCUGCAGCCUUUUCUCAGUGACCAGAGCAUUCCCAGUGUUCAGCUGCCUUGACACCUUUUGCUCUGCAGCUGAUCUCUGUGUCCGUAGGUCUGACCAUGUCUAGCUCAUCUCCCAUUUAUGACAUCUGGCAGAAAGGUAAAUUACGCUUCCCCAGAUCCUGCUUUGCUUUAGUGGGGAACCUAUUAAUCUUAUUUGUUACACAUUUUGUGUGUAAUCUGUGCCUUCAGGAGAGCUAUAAUGAGAGUAUAACCAGAAAUCUUGUCAGCCUCUUUUGGGAAACAUUUAUAAACAGACCAGAGCAGACCCCAGAGAACCUGGGUCCUACCUGUGUACACACUGCCCACGCACUGCUUGCACAAGGGAGUUAUUAGCUACCAAUUGCUGUAUUUUCAGUGCUAGUGGCAACACUGAGCUUUUACUUUCCAUGCUACAGAGGCUGCUGGGAUAAUGGAGCCCAUAAUUACAUCCAGCCACUCGUUAGGGCUCAAAUUACAAAACCGGAUUUCUGUGCCAGACCUUCAGGAAGUAAGCUGUGGAAGGAAUCUCACAAAUAACCUGCAAUUACGUUAAUGCAGAGGGCAGGGCCUUCCCUUAAGAGCUCUCAGGCUCACUGGAGUGACCCUGGCUGGCUGAUCAGAGCCAGAUGUGCAGUGGAGAGAUAAGUGAUGCAGGUGAAUUACACAGGCACAGAGCUGGUGCUUCUGUAGCCAGGGCUGUUUAGGAAUAGACAGAAAGAAACAAAGCCUGUAGUGUGGGACAGCCAAGCAAUGGGGCCUGUGCUGCUGUGGCUUAUUCCUUCACCCUGUGGAAAGGGCUGUGCUCACAUAAGGCACAUGCACAUGAUUACAGCUCCAUUUGCAGAAUGAGUGUCUCUUCCCAGAGUGUUUGCCCAGCCGCAGAGGGCUGUGAGCAGGCCAGCACUCACACCUGCACAGGAGCGGGGAACAGAGAGCUGGGCUCAGGCAUGCCUGGAGGAGCCAUCCCGGGAAGAUCCAGCACGGCCAGUUCUGCCACAAGCUCCCUUCCCUGUGUCACCACGAAGGGCUCACACCAGCCUUACCCUGCACACUCUGGGCAAGCACAGCCACUCUUCCUCAGGGUACCACAGAAGGGAAGGGUCUGUGUUCCCUCCUCACUCCUAUGUCUAUUUACAGCAUUUUAACAACCCAGAAAUGGGGACUGGGAGAAAUUGCUUGUCCAACCUCCGCUUUCAAAGAAUGCUCAUUUCUCUCAGGUUCUGCACCUCCUCCAUAGCCCAAGGCUGGACACAAGCCACCCAAAUAUUUUCAAGCUCAGUUCAACACCAGCUCAGGCCCACCUCAAGCUGUUUGAUCUGUGAGCAAACACUCUUUAUCUAUAAGCAACCUGCUCUUUCCCAACUCCCCGCAGCAGGAAUGCAGCCUCGGCUGUUUCCAGGCAGAAGCUGCCGCACACAGCCCUGCAAUUCCCCAACAUGCUGACUUCUUCUGUCCUGAUUAUUUUAUUGAUCUGCUCUACAGAAUGGAGGGACUCUAUCCCCUUUUUCCUAUUAAAUGCAGCCUGUUUUUCUAUAAA
Molecule: non-coding RNA, 2207 nt
Organism: Cyanistes caeruleus (blue tit)
Lineage: Eukaryota; Metazoa; Chordata; Aves; Passeriformes; Paridae
Source: RefSeq, a predicted model, not a curated record